RNAcentral lists this long non-coding RNA (985 nucleotides) under Dromaius novaehollandiae (emu). RNAcentral describes it as "lncRNA (ENSDNVG00000004427.1)". Lineage: Eukaryota; Metazoa; Chordata; Aves; Casuariiformes; Dromaiidae. The record is from RNAcentral.
ACAGCUCCUGGGCUGCCGAGAAGGAUACAGCCCCGGGACAAGAGAGGUGGUAGGAAGAGACAAGGCAUAGGUUGCUUGAACAGCUUGAGUAUUAGGCGUGUAUUUAGGCCCCGUUGUCCCUCCCUCUCUCUCUCUMURUGUGUGUGUGGGGGGUUAUCAUCUUCCUAUUCAUCUUCGGUGGCUUGUGUCUAUUCACCACACUGAGCCUGAAAAUGUUUCCUGCCUGUUGGCAAAGGCUGGAAGGUGUCUUUCCAGUUUGCCUCCAGCUUUUGCGUUUAGUUUGCUCUGGCUGCGUGGGUAUUUACACAGCAGCAAGGAAAGGAAACACAUUUUUAAAUUAACGAGAAGUGAUGGCAAAAUGAAAGAUGGUUAUGGAACUUGAAACUGCUUCCAAGUAGUCUUUUUUAUCCUUAUAACUUGAGACAUUUAACUUGAGUGUUGCUUUAGACUGGAUUGUAAAAAGAAUAAGUACUUUAUUUGUUCUUUGAACUACCAGUUUUCCUCUAAAUUACUACACUAGGGUGAGCCAGAACUAUCUUUCUUCUUUCUAUACUGGUGCCUUUCAUCUAUCUAAGUUGAGCAAGUGUGUAGGCUUUUUUUUUUUUGCUUACUUUCCAGACAAUCAUAAAAGUAAACUUUUUUCUGCUUUUUGUAGUUACAGUUGCAUCUACUCAGUUUCUCUAGUGACAAUCGGAUGUUUGAAUUUUCAGAGGGUGUGCUCCUGCAACAUGGUUCAUGUCCAGACUCUUCUAGGAGAUCCAACAGACCACCUGCUUGAUAGCGUGCAGGCUUUGGCCAGUAUCCAGCAACAGAAAUGACAACUCCUAAACUGCAGCUGAGGAGAAGGGAAACCUUGAAAAGAUGAUUUUCAGGUAUCUGAAAAGACUUGGAAGUGUAAAGGAAAGAUAAGAGAUUGGGAGAGGGUGGGGAAGAGUUUAGAGCUAAUGGUGAGGACAGAGACACAAAGUGCUGUGUUUGAAAAUGG